This 590-nucleotide unclassified non-coding RNA is filed under the name Hevea brasiliensis (rubber tree). Lineage: Eukaryota; Viridiplantae; Streptophyta; Magnoliopsida; Malpighiales; Euphorbiaceae. The record is from RNAcentral.
UCUGGACUGCUAUUAAGAUGUAAUUUUUUAUUUGCUGAAAUGUGCAUGACCAGAAGUUAAAUGAAAAAUAAAAUAAAAUUACAAGUCCUGAUCCAAGCAUUUGACCACACUGGUCAGGAAUAAAGAUACAAUGACUAAAAAGUAUAAAAUUUCACUUCUGUUUCUUCUCAGGGUCAUGGUAUUUAAAUUAAUAAUUUCCAAAAGAAAAAUGGCACUAAUCAAAAUUUCAAUUAUGCUUUUCCGUUGGCUACUUUGGCAGAAGCUCCAGAUGGGUUAAGCUCAUCCCAGGCCUCAAUCCAAGUGACCAUGGCAUCUGCAAGCUUAUCGAAGUAAGGAUCAACCUUGCUAAGCUUUUCCUUAACCUGCUUGGACAGUUCAAUGUAGCACUUUUGAACAGUAGUGCAAUCUUUGGGAAGUGUGGCAGCUUGGAAGAAUGGAAUGAUCUCUUCCUGCCAAAAGAUGCCCUUGUACUCCUUCCUUAGGUUAACAAAUGGGUUGCUUGCCUUGCUGUGAUAGAUGUAGGGCAGACCAGUCUUGAUUCCUAGUCCCAAAUGGUCACAGAUAACCUUUGUGCACCAGCCAGCCCACAU